RNAcentral lists this long non-coding RNA (622 nucleotides) under Elaeis guineensis (African oil palm). Its description in RNAcentral is "long non-coding RNA (EGUI_LNC029024)". The record is from RNAcentral. Lineage: Eukaryota; Viridiplantae; Streptophyta; Magnoliopsida; Arecales; Arecaceae.
CACAUCACUUCAGUGCUCACAUCAUCUCGAUGAUCAUGUUAUCCCAAUGAUCACAUCACGGGUGAUAUACCAAACAGCACCUAAAGAUCGUAUAUCCUAUCCAUUCGUAAAUCUACAUCCAAUUAAUGCACCUCAUAAGAAGGUGUACAUGUAACAAGUGGAAGCUCUUAACCGUCUCGUGCACCUGAAAUCCCUUAUAUAUGUAUUUGCUCCAACCGAUCCUACCUUACUUGAUCUGAUCUUAUAUUUCUGUUUUUGUGAUGGGUACCUCACCAUUGAUGUUUCGUUCUUUGCUGCUAAACAAUUGGCGCAGCUUUCUCUCCAGGUGCUUGAGUAGUCCUGGUUCCCUGCAACCUUUGUCCUCGGUAAACCGGUGAAGCAUGAACUCACCAGAGCGAUAAAUAAAUAAAUAAAUAAUUUCCACGGCACGAUGCUUCCACCUGUUACUCCAUUAAUAAUUUAAUUGUUAUAAGAUCAAGGUUGUCAUUCUCAUAUUACACUAAUAAAUACCAACCCACCCAAAGCAAGCAAAUAUAAUAAGUAUUUUUUUUAUUAUAUAAAAGACAAGACAGCUCCAUCUGAAACCGACAUUUCACUAAAUCUACCAAAACUAUUCUUUUCG